AUUGAACGCUGGCGGCAUGCUUUACACAUGCAAGUCGAACGGUAACAGGCCGCAAGGUGCUGACGAGUGGCGAACGGGUGAGUAAUGCAUCGGAACGUGCCCAGUCGUGGGGAUAACGCAGCGAAAGCUGCGCUAAUACCGCAUACGAUCUAUGGAUGAAAGCGGGGGACCGUAAGGCCUCGCGCGAUUGGAGCGGCCGAUGUCAGAUUUGGUAGUUGGUGGGGUAAAGGCUCACCAAGCCAACGAUCUGUAGCUGGUCUGAGAGGACGACCGGCCACACUGGGACUGAGACACGGCCCAGACUCCUACGGGAGGCAGCAGUGGGGAAUUUUGGACAAUGGGCGCAAGCCUGAUCCAGCAAUGCCGCGUGCAGGAAGAAGGCCUUCGGGUUGUAAACUGCUUUUGUACGGAACGAAACGGCUCUGGUUAAUACCUGGGGCUAAUGACGGUACCGUAAGAAUAAGCACCGGCUAACUACGUGCCAGCCGCCGCAGUAA
This 497-nucleotide ribosomal RNA is filed under the name uncultured bacterium. RNAcentral's name for it is "partial 16S ribosomal RNA". It matches the Rfam family "Bacterial small subunit ribosomal RNA", at positions 30 to 523 of the family's 1533-position model. The record is from RNAcentral.